CCCCCCCCCCCCCCCCGCCCGAGCCGCCGGCGGUGCUCCUCCUGUCGCGCAGAGCAGGGCGGCCGGCGCGCCCCCCUCAGGGACGUUCGGGGAAGGACCAGAGGUGGGGCGCCGGCGGCAGGGAGCUAGGUGAGGCGGAGGGUCCCGUCUCCGGCGACGAAGCCAUGGAUGUUCAACCAGAACAUCAUGUUCGCGUUGACCUCUGUGGGCUGCUGCUUCUCCAACAUCGUCUGCAAGAAGUGGUACAUCGACAUGAACAAUAGAGCUGGAGAGUUCAAGGAGCCGGACUGGUUCUUGAACAGAAAGAAGGGCGGCAUGUUCCUGACCAGGAAGGACUACAACUUUAUUUGGUUCCCAAAUUUUUCAUAAGAAUCUGCAACCGUAUGAGUAGCAAGUAAAUUUGGCAUAGCUAUUCAAUUCAGCGCAUCUUGCAGUACAGUACUGCGGUGCACGGAGAAGCGGCGCAACCUGUGGCGCGAGCUGCUGUACAUGAGCGGCGGAGGGAUGGACCUUUUUGUUGUUCCCCGCUCACGAGCUGUUCUCGGUACGCGCUGUUCUUGGUGCGGUUUAGCUCAUGGGGAAAAUAAGCAGAUGUUUCUUCAAGUAAUUUGGGAUUUGGUCUUUAAGCUACGAUUCCACACCAAGAUUAUGUUCUCUGGAGCUAACCGUGCUGCUGUGCUGGACAGGCAGACGAGGGCCGGCCUGCUGCCGAUACAAGCCGUCGAGGUGGACGGCCAGCGCUAAAUCAUUUGCAGGUAUCUAGAGUUACAUUCCGGUGGCUGAGAUGCAUAUAGUUGUUGGCUGUAGUUCCUUCCAUUUGUCCGCUCGACGUGGAGAUUGACCCUCUAUGUAGCAUGCAACACUCAGCUGGGAAAUGCACUUAUAGGAACUAAUCAAUCACUUUGCUGAACUCAGUCUGUUGUCCAGUUUCCGCAGACAUUUGUCAGCUGGCAAGAAGGUUGAAGGCACAUCGACUUGCUUCGAUUAAUUGGUGGUGCGGGCUGGACGACGCCGAAGUAGUCAUCUUCGCCGGCCCCGUCACUGCGUACGCAUACUCCUUCAAUUUUUCCCUCCUACUGGUGUUGUGAUCUGGAGAAGCUCAAGUAGUCAUCUUCGUCCAUCACGUCACUGCAUACGCAUACGCCUCUGAUUUUUGGCUCCUGCUCAAAGGAAUAGGAACGUUUCCCGCAAAAAAAAGUAAUAGGAAUGUGCUCCUCCCAAAAGACAAAAGCAAGACAAUGCAGACAAUAAAAAUCCAGCACCAACAAUGAAUAGCCGGAGUAAACAAAACAAGCAGACCAAAUCGUGUCGGCCCUCGAGGAAGGGUUGCAGUGUCGAGGAGCAGCAGGCAUGUAAAUCUGACUGCAAUUCAUGUGCAGCUUCAUGAACGUCUGCCAAGGUUCUCAGUGAGGGCUUCCUCUAAGAUGCUUUCAGAUUUUUGAUUAUCUAGCAUAUAUAUGCAGUGAAGAUGUCUCUCCUUUUUGGUACCGCUCUGAAUAGGAUACAUGGUGUUCAUGUUCUGUUAGAUAAUUUUACUCUUGUGUAGUUUGAUUUAAAAGAUGAUAGGUCAGAAUGACAGAAUGUGAUUAGUUUUGCUUUUGCUGCUGCUACACAUGAUUUUACUUUUGUUUUUGAUUGUUUCUUUUUCAGUUUCUUAAGGCUAGAACACUACAGUGAUUGAUUAUGCACCUGAAGGCUUAAUGAAGCUGCUUGGACUGAAUUUCUCUUUAAAAUACAUGGUGCUUGUUUGGGAUGUUUGGGCAAAAAUAGUUGGGAAUUGGUUUUUUAUUAUAUGCAAAGCUUCAAGCCUUGGGGUCUUGCUGACAUUAGUUGUUUCAAGUUCAGACCUUAUUCAUCGCUGACUAUACUCUCUCAAGUCAGGUCACGGUGGAUGGUUUGAGAGGAGGGAGGCAGAGCAGAGACAAACGGCGCAUUCCGCCAUGCAUGUGUAUGGAUUUGUAUCAUCCUACUACUGUGUUGCUUUGUUUUACAGUAAUAAAUAAAGAGAUGAAUCAGAUUUUCUUUGGUUCGUUAGCAAAAUUUUACACAUCAAGUAUUUGAUCUCA
Non-coding RNA from Triticum urartu, 2066 nucleotides. NCBI's taxonomy places the organism in Eukaryota, Viridiplantae, Streptophyta, Magnoliopsida, Poales, Poaceae. The record is from RefSeq and is a predicted model, not a curated record.